RNAcentral lists this ribosomal RNA (448 nucleotides) under uncultured bacterium. Its description in RNAcentral is "bacterial SSU rRNA". It matches the Rfam family "Bacterial small subunit ribosomal RNA", at positions 329 to 793 of the family's 1533-position model. The record is from RNAcentral.
GCCCAGACUCCUACGGGAGGCAGCAGUGGGGGAUAUUGCACAAUGGGGGGAACCCUGAUGCAGCGACGCCGCGUGGGUGAAGAAGUCUUUCGGUAUGUAAAGCCCUAUCGGCAGGGAAGAAAUUGGCCGGUACCUGACUAAGAAGCCCCGGCUAACUACGUGCCAGCAGCCGCGGUAAUACGCAGGGGGCAAGCGUUAUCCGGAUUCACUGGGUGUAAAGGGGGCGGAGACGGCCGUGCUAGCCUGGAGUGAAAGCCCGGGGCCCAACCCCGGGACUGCUCUGGGAACUGGGCGGCUGGAGUGCGGGAGGGGCAGGCGGAAUUCCUGGUGUAGCGGUGAAAUGCGUAGAUAUCAGGAGGAACACCGGCGGCGAGGGCGGCCUGCUGGACCGCGACUGACGUUGAGGCUCGAAAGCGUGGGGAGCGAACAGGAUUAGAUACCCCCGUAA